GACGAACGCUGGCGGCGUGCCUAAUACAUGCAAGUAGAACGCUGAAGGAGGAGCUUGCUUCUCUGGAUGAGUUGCGAACGGGUGAGUAACGCGUAGGUAACCUGCCUGGUAGCGGGGGAUAACUAUUGGAAACGAUAGCUAAUACCGCAUAAGAGUAGAUGUCGCAUGACAUUUGCUUAAAAGGUGCAAUUGCAUCACUACCAGAUGGACCUGCGUUGUAUUAGCUAGUUGGUGAGGUAACGGCUCACCAAGGCAACGAUACAUAGCCGACCUGAGAGGGUGAUCGGCCACACUGGGACUGAGACACGGCCCAGACUCCUACGGGAGGCAGCAGUAGGGAAUCUUCGGCAAUGGACAGAAGUCUGACCGAGCAACGCCGCGUGAGUGAAGAAGGUUUUCGGAUCGUAAAGCUCUGUUGUAAGAGAAGAACGAGUGUGAGAGUGGAAAGUUCACACUGUGACGGUAUCUUACCAGAAAGGGACGGCUAACUACGUG
Molecule: ribosomal RNA, 495 nt
Filed under: uncultured bacterium
Lineage: Bacteria
Description: partial 16S ribosomal RNA
Rfam family: Bacterial small subunit ribosomal RNA
Source: RNAcentral